CUCCCACAAGCAUAAAGCGGGGACGAGUUAAGACCCCAGCGUUGUCUGCCCCUUUUGAGGGAAGAAGCCAAUUCACCCCGGUGACAACAGCUACGGGUACCCAGAUCGAAGCCUCUAUCCCAGCCCGUCUUCCGCCCCUGACUUGCCCUCCCCUUCCUCCAGUCUCACCUCAACCCUCCCCACCCUUCCCGAAGGGGCUCCGUACCUGAUGCUCCUCGAGCUCCUGCACUAGCACCUGAGCAAAAGGGAAACACAGAUAUGAGGAGCAGCUCGGGCCAUCAACCCAUUCCUCCCUCCACACUUAAAGCCCAGCCGCUGACCGUUUGACUAGUCAAGGCCGGCCUUUCCCUCACCCUCAACGGAACUGCUCGUCCCGCUGCCUCGAUUUCCCCACUGGGACCAUUCACCACGACUCCCAGAUCUCUUUCUUCCCCUUACCUGAGCGGAUUUGUUGCAGGGUCCAGACUGCAAGAACCUAGCGAUCAGCUGAGAUCCAGACCUUCUUAGAGAGAACACAGCCAGUGGAGAGUCACUCUAUGGCAGGAAAUAUUCUGUAUUGCCUUACAGGCAGAACUUGCUGAAACUCCAACCUCUGGAAAUUACUGGAACCCUGCAUUCUAGAACUUGCUGGAAACCCACCCUCUGGAAUUGGCCUGCUAGAGUGCCUGAGAAGGAUGUUCAUAGGGAAAUGUUUCAGCAGAGGAACUCUACUACAAAAACCACAAGAGGGAGGGUGCCAGGGGAAGUGGCCUGGUGCUAUUGAAACUGCAACACAGAAGCCAGCCACUGGAGAGAGCUGCACAAGCUGCAGGAACACCCUACCCAGUAAGCCGGCCAGAAGGAGGGAGCAAAACCUUUUCUCUCUGCAACAUCUUUCCAGUUUCCUCUACUGGAAAAGCUUCAUUGCCAGCUGACAAAAGGAAAAAUACUUAAAUGGAUCAGAUCCAUUUUCACAGAGCAGUCAAUAAUGGUGAAUUUGGAGAUGAUAAGCAACAAAUUGAUGAACUGGCACAACUUCCCUGCUACUUUCUUGAUUGUAAUGCCUAGAUAGGGAAUAGGAAAGUUAUUGAAAUGUAUGUGUUCCCAUGAAAUGUGUUUAUUUGUUGUUCAAGAUCAAUACUAAUAAAUGGGGACUAAUGUUCUGAA
Molecule: long non-coding RNA, 1146 nt
Organism: Homo sapiens (human)
Lineage: Eukaryota; Metazoa; Chordata; Mammalia; Primates; Hominidae
Exons: 2
Source: RefSeq, a predicted model, not a curated record